RNAcentral lists this ribosomal RNA (2567 nucleotides) under Listeria monocytogenes. RNAcentral's name for it is "partial 23S ribosomal RNA". It matches the Rfam family "Bacterial large subunit ribosomal RNA", at positions 361 to 2925 of the family's 2925-position model. Lineage: Bacteria; Bacillati; Bacillota; Bacilli; Caryophanales; Listeriaceae. The record is from RNAcentral.
CGGUAACAGCCCGGUAGUUGAAAUGGCUUUCCCUCCAGAGUGGAUCCUGAGUACGGCGGAACACGUGAAAUUCCGUCGGAAUCCGGGAGGACCAUCUCCCAAGGCUAAAUACUCCCUAGUGACCGAUAGUGAACCAGUACCGUGAGGGAAAGGUGAAAAGCACCCCGGAAGGGGAGUGAAACAGUUCCUGAAACCGUGUGCCUACAAGUAGUUAGAGCCCGUUAAUGGGUGAUAGCGUGCCUUUUGUAGAAUGAACCGGCGAGUUACGAUUUGUUGCAAGGUUAAGCGGAAAAAGCGGAGCCGUAGCGAAAGCGAGUCUGAAUAGGGCGCAUAAGUAACAGGUCGUAGACCCGAAACCAGGUGAUCUACCCAUGUCCAGGAUGAAGGUAAGGUAAUACUUACUGGAGGUCCGAACCCACGCACGUUGAAAAGUGCGGGGAUGAGGUGUGGGUAGCGGAGAAAUUCCAAUCGAACUUGGAGAUAGCUGGUUCUCUCCGAAAUAGCUUUAGGGCUAGCCUCGAGGUAAAGAGUCAUGGAGGUAGAGCACUGUUUGGACUAGGGGCCCUUCUCGGGUUACCGAAUUCAGAUAAACUCCGAAUGCCAUGUACUUAUACUCGGGAGUCAGACUGCGAGUGAUAAGAUCCGUAGUCGAAAGGGAAACAGCCCAGACCACCAGUUAAGGUCCCCAAAUAUAUGUUAAGUGGAAAAGGAUGUGGGGUUGCUUAGACAACCAGGAUGUUGGCUUAGAAGCAGCCACCAUUGAAAGAGUGCGUAAUAGCUCACUGGUCGAGUGACCCCGCGCCGAAAAUGUACCGGGGCUAAACAUAUUACCGAAACUGUGGAUGAACCUCUUUAGAGGUUCGUGGUAGGAGAGCGUUCUAAGGGCGGUGAAGUCAGACCGGAAGGACUGGUGGAGCGCUUAGAAGUGAGAAUGCCGGUAUGAGUAGCGAAAGAAGGGUGAGAAUCCCUUCCACCGAAUAUCUAAGGUUUCCUGAGGAAGGCUCGUCCGCUCAGGGUUAGUCGGGACCUAAGCCGAGGCCGAUAGGCGUAGGCGAUGGACAACAGGUAGAGAUUCCUGUACCAGUGCUAAUUGUUUAACCGAUGGGGUGACACAGAAGGAUAGGGAAUCGCACGAAUGGAAAUGUGCGUCCAAGCAGUGAGUGUGAGAAGUAGGCAAAUCCGCUUCUCGCGAAGCAUGAGCUGUGAUGGGGAAGGAAAUUAAGUACGGAAGUUCCUGAUUUCACGCUGUCAAGAAAAGCCUCUAGGAAGAGUAGUACUGCCCGUACCGCAAACCGACACAGGUAGAUGAGGAGAGAAUCCUAAGGUGAGCGAGAGAACUCUCGUUAAGGAACUCGGCAAAAUGACCCCGUAACUUCGGGAGAAGGGGUGCUCUAUUAGGGUGCAAGCCCGAGAGAGCCGCAGUGAAUAGGCCCAGGCGACUGUUUAGCAAAAACACAGGUCUCUGCAAAACCGUAAGGUGACGUAUAGGGGCUGACGCCUGCCCGGUGCUGGAAGGUUAAGAGGAGUGCUUAGCUUCGGCGAAGGUACGAAUUGAAGCCCCAGUAAACGGCGGCCGUAACUAUAACGGUCCUAAGGUAGCGAAAUUCCUUGUCGGGUAAGUUCCGACCCGCACGAAAGGCGCAACGAUCUGGGCACUGUCUCAACGAGAGACUCGGUGAAAUUAUAGUACCUGUGAAGAUGCAGGUUACCCGCGACAGGACGGAAAGACCCCGUGGAGCUUUACUGCAACCUGAUAUGGAAUGUUUGUACCGCUUGUACAGGAUAGGUAGGAGCCGAAGAGACGUGUGCGCUAGCAUACGAGGAGGCAAUGGUGGGAUACUACCCUGGCUGUAUGACCAUUCUAACCCGCCACGCUUAGCGCGUGGGGAGACAGUGUCAGGUGGGCAGUUUGACUGGGGCGGUCGCCUCCUAAAGAGUAACGGAGGCGCCCAAAGGUUCCCUCAGAAUGGAUGGAAAUCAUUCGCAGAGUGUAAAGGCACAAGGGAGCUUGACUGCGAGACUGACAAGUCGAGCAGGGACGAAAGUCGGGCUUAGUGAUCCGGUGGUUCCGCAUGGAAGGGCCAUCGCUCAACGGAUAAAAGCUACCCCGGGGAUAACAGGCUUAUCUCCCCCAAGAGUCCACAUCGACGGGGAGGUUUGGCACCUCGAUGUCGGCUCGUCGCAUCCUGGGGCUGUAGUCGGUCCCAAGGGUUGGGCUGUUCGCCCAUUAAAGCGGCACGCGAGCUGGGUUCAGAACGUCGUGAGACAGUUCGGUCCCUAUCCGUCGCGGGCGCAGGAAAUUUGAGAGGAGCUGUCCUUAGUACGAGAGGACCGGGAUGGACACACCGCUGGUGUACCAGUUGUUCCGCCAGGAGCAUCGCUGGGUAGCUAUGUGUGGCAGGGAUAAACGCUGAAAGCAUCUAAGCGUGAAGCCCCCCUCAAGAUGAGAUUUCCCAUUUCUUCGGAAAGUAAGAUCCCUGAAAGAUGAUCAGGUAGAUAGGUUUGGAGUGGAAGUGUAGCGAUACAUGGAGCGGACAAAUACUAAUCGAUCGAGGACUUAACCAAAA